GAAAUGAGAGUGGUCUAGAGAGAGAGAGACGAAUAUGACGUCACGACAAGAGAUUCCAUUCCCUUGAGUGUGUAUAUGCAAGGGGGGAGGGAAUAGAGGCACCAGGAGAAAUUUUCUGUGUGUGUGGUGUUUGUGUUGGUAUGUGUGAGUGUGAGAAGAUAAUGAGACGUGGGGGCAGAGGGUGUGUCACCGCGUGAGGUCCGGUGGGUCGAGGUGAGGCCCUUCAUUCGGUUCCGUCCUGCGCCAUAUUGGUCGGCCCGUGACGCAUUUAGGAAGACCCAUGGAUGACUAGUCGUACAAGACAAAGAUAGUAGAAUUUUGAAGGACUCUGUGUCCACUGACAAAGACGGCUAGGAUUUGUAACCCUAGGUUCUCAGACUAAGGUAACCCCUUUAUCUCUGAUAUUACUAUUCAUCCAACCUAACUUUAAGGGGCAUCCUACAGAAUGCUCUGCUAGAAUCAUACUCGUCAAUUAGGAAGAGAGGUGUGAGACAAUGCGUGAGAGACAGGCGUAAAGAUAAUGUGCGUACAUGAGACACAUAGGGAGGUCCAUGUAUAUAGAAAGGGUCGAUGAGGAUUGUGCGUGUGUAUGUUUGCGAGAGGAAGAGUGCUUGUGAUAAAGGUUAGUGAAAAUAGUUGUAAAUGGUUACGAGAGGGAGGGAGGGUUAUAUCUAGAGCAUGUGUGCAAGAAAGACACCUCGGGAGAGAGUGUGUGAGCAUGUGUGAGAGACCAUCGAUGGAGAGUGAAACUACACGUAAAAGACUACUCUACACAUUGAUUAAAGAUAUAAAUUGUAUCCAAAUAUUAGGAUGGGAUCAUGAUAUUUGCAAUUCGCGUAAGGAGCGGUCAUUGAUCCAUUAGACAUCUAGAUUCUAUCGAAUUUGAGCAUGUCUAUGUUAUUAUUCGACACAAUUGAUCCACAUAGUUAGUAUUUUGAACUCCAGACAAUGCAUCGCUUUAGCAAUCGAAUAUAAACGUGAGUAUAGUUCAUGUUGUGUGUGUAAAGCACAUUAUACAUACGGAAGUUACACAAUGGACAUUAUAAAUAGCUACAUAUGAACUAGCAUACAUUUGAAUUCAACUUAAGGUGGUUUAAAAAAAUCGAAUUCAACAUGAAGUCCAUUCAAUUAUUUGAAUUUGAUAUCAUGGCAUUUGUAAACCAUACCUAUAUUAUGGGGGCACCAAUCUUUGCUCUGAUUUUGUACAUAAUAGCAUAUGUAGUCGUGUACAAAAUAGAUUCAAAUUUAGCUCCUCCAUUCCAAAAUAAUCGUAGUUAUAGGAUUUUCAAGUGUCAAAAUUUCAAAAAGAAGCGAAUAAUUUAAUGAGGUUUUCAAACAUACAAGGUCAAAUAUAACGUUGUCUAUUUAGGUCAAUCCUCAUAGUUCAAGAGUACUCUAAACGUGAAUGCUUGUGUUUCAAAAUUUCGAAUGAAGCGCCAAAAGAGCCUCUACUCGCCCGAAACUGCGCGAGACCAAUGUUUGGUAGUACAAGGAAAUUACUUUUCUAACAACUCCGACCCGUGAAACCUACCGGCCCGACGUCCAAAGGUCUAACCCGGGGUAGGUUUGUAGCUACAUCUAGACGCCACACAACCGCAUCCGAAAAACAUUCAUACACAAUGGUCGCCUAAGCACACAUGCGCGCGGCCAAAAUCGCUCCCGCCCACUAUUUGGGACACCUGGGAUUACCAUCCUACCCCGACCCGCAGUAGGUCCAAAAUUGAAGAGGGGGGCAAAAUUUGUACUUUCCCCAAAUUUCAAACAAGCGCGUCCCAUCUUUUGUUCAAAAAAGCCAAAAACAAGCGCAUCCCAGACCGAAACAUUGUCCCCCCCCCCACCCGUCCGAUUCCCCAUUCGUACUUUGUGGGCACCAAAACUACCUCUCCACCAGCCGCGAAACCCCAGCGUCCUCUGUCCGCCACCCCAUCCCACCCAUCAACCGCCGCCCUCCUCCAUCACGCCGGAGCCGAUACCCCGACGUCGUCGUCCACCGCAACCUCAACCGCAACGCCCUCCACGGCUAGUAGUUGAAGCCGAGGCUGAGCCGUCCGUACCCGAGCCAGUUCAGCCAUGCCGUCCUGCGCCUCACCGCUGCCGCUCCAACUUCGCCACCCUCCACCGCACUAGAGCUGUUCCUGCUACGCCAUCCUUCGCCACCUCGGAUGUGCUUCCCCUCCGCCGACAUAUGGCCACGACAACACAAUCAACAAUUUGGCCAUGGGUUCUUCCAAACCUGCACCCUCCAGAACAUCGGUUUCCCCGAUAAAAAGAAGAAGAUCGGCGCGACAUGUGGAGGUGACCACACCGGCAACCGAAAAAGGUACUCCUCUUCCCUUAUUCGUGCAAAUCUUACGUCUCUGCUUGCACGGUAUUCAUCCCACAGAAGACACUAGUUAACCGCUUCUUCUUGAUACUAGAUGUUCCUAGUAACUCGCGAUGCACAAGGUUUCUCCUCAUAUACUAUUUCACCUUAGCUAGAGGUCCGUCGCCCCCCUGAAUUUCAAUUUCUGGCCAGUUGAUUCCCAAUUAACGGAAGAAUUCCCCGGCGUAAUAGGCGCUAGUACGCCUAUUAUGUCGGGGAAGCAACGCCUUAGUGUUUAUCUUAGGUGUGUGUGCGGCCUAGAGCUAUUGGCGCCCGAUUUGGAGGCCGACCGGGAUUAAAGGGAUGGCCUGGGGGCGCUGCCAAGCACGGCGGUGGUGUGAGGUCGAUGGGAGGGCGGGGCGGCGGAGGCAGGGGUCUGGGUUGGUGGUCGCUGGCGGUUUGAGAAAGAUCGUCAACAGUGACUGGAGGGAGGUAGACAAAGGCCAUCUGCCCAUUCCUUAUAGAUCGGAUGGUUCAUUAAAAAAAUCGACUGGCCUAUUUAUUUUCAGUCGACUGUUAUCUUAGAUAUGACCACAUGUGGUGGUGUGCUGCAGGAGUACUUGCUUUUCCUAUGCUCAUAUACUACAAAAUCAUACGGAGUAGAAUCUAAUUUUGUUUGCCAUGCAAUGUUGUAGAGCUAUCAUAUGUCUCCUGUCAUUUAUUUUUCAGCCACCUGCUACCUGCUACUUUUACAGUGCACUAGUUCUGCACACACUUCACCCUUACUCUCACUAUUGUGUUUUUAUGCAAGGGUAUUUCAGACUCUGCUGCCGUGAGAGAAGCCAAAAAGAAAAGAGAGAAGUCACUCUAGCUUCGUAUGCUAGUAGGCAAGGCACGUUACAGCGCUAUACAGGGUGCAGUGUCAGCAGAUGGAGACGGUAAACGUAGCUCUGGAGUUGAUGACCUCGCUCGCAAUGAACCACCAUCCCAGGUGCUUGCUUUAACUUCGCGGUGUCAUAUGUGGUUGCAUGUUCCAUAUGGUGUCUAGCUUGUAUUCGAAAGGCCGAAGUCGGUAAGAUAAGGAAAGAUAUUUUUUUACAUGAACCACCAUCCCGUGAGCACCAGAAGACAAAUGUCAGGACCCCGACUCGAUGUCACAUCGAUCUAGCCUGUAGCACCUCAUAUCACUUUGCGGCCUCACGCACGGUAUCCCCACGGGUGUCGCCUUACCUUUGCCCGGGACCGUUUGCGCCUUUUGGCUCACGUAUAUGAUAGUGUCGCUAGCAUCCAUAUGAUAAGGAGCCCGGGCUGACAUGACUAGUUGUAAACCCAAAGUGGCACAGACUUACAGGGACAGGCAUUCAUGACCCAGCCUCGAACGUGUCGAUCAACAGCAAGUGGGUCCGGGCUGUAGCACUGGGCUAGCAGGACUCCGGUAAACCGGGCUGUAGCGGGCUAACAGGACUCCGGUACUCAAUGCGUGACAUUUCCCCGAAGGGACAGACACCGGAACGAGGAAGGACACAUACCGGUCAGCCUAAGUGUUCCAGAGCAGUAGCAAGCUACCAUGGCUCAGCGGUAACACUAGGAGACAUUUCCCAGUAAGAGAGGCUACUAAAGAUAACAACUAGAUAGUCAGAUCCCACACAUACCAAGCAUUUCAAACAUACACACAAUAUGCUCGAUAUGUGCAAAUACAACGAAGCAUCACAACAUGACUCUACGACACAAGUACUUUAUUUAAGGCUCAGAGAGCCAUACAUAACAUACACAAAGGUACGGGUCACACGACCCAGCAUCCAAGUCAUACAGUCAUACAAACCAGCAGCAGAAGUAACUUGUCUGAGUACAGACAACUAGUAAAAUAAAAGAGGCUUGAAAGCCUAGCUAUACUACGUGGUCCUUCACAAGCUCAGGAUCACCACCUGGGCCUUAGCCUACUCAUUGAUGUCAACGUCUACGUAGAACCCAUCAGAAGGGGUUGCAGCGUCUUCUGUAAAAAUGUAAAUUAUAGCAACAUGAGUACAAAGGUACUCAACAAGACUUACAUGAGAUCCUACAUACAUGCAUAUUAUCAAGAAGGGUUGGUGGAGUUGUUGCAGCAAGCCAGCUUUGACUCUUGGCUAGACUAACCUACGAGACUCCAACUUGAAAUGGUUUUGCGCACACGAGUCCAUUACUCACCACUUCAAUACACUACCGAGGAUCCACCUCCGUCUCCCUACAGAAGAGCCAUCCUCGGCACUCACACUUAUCUUGAGGCUUUUAGUAGUUUCCAUUUACUUGUCUAUGAACUGUAUAGGCAACCAAGUAGUCCUUUACCACGGACGCGGCUAUUCGAAUAGAUCAUGUUAACUCUGCAGGGGUGUACUUCUUCAUACACGCUCUCACCACUUACCGUCGUUUACACGACAUGUACUCGGCAACCUUCAAGCGGAAGCCCAACGUGGGUGUCGGCCACGACCUACCUAACCACCUAAGCCUCCAGUCCAGGUUUAUCGCCUAUCCAGGUUCCAUCCGCAGGGAGUCCGGCCGAGGUUUCCCAUACGGCCCCGAACGAUGUGAACAGGGUUCCCGAGAUACCUAACGGGUAUUCGGUACACCCGGCCACGUACCUACCGCAUCACAGCCCACCCCUACGGUCAGCGCUGUCCACGGCCUCCAGUAGGCUACAAACACCAGAAACUACUUGCAACUCCUGGACGGAGAACUAGGUUGAAUAAGAAGCCGAGAGGGUCCAUUGGUUUCGGGCCCAAUGCAUGGUAGUAGCUGGUUCUUAAAUCACACAUACAGAUCUCAGUGCUUAAGGUCGGCUUCAAUGAAACAACCCACCAUGUACUCCUACAUGGCCUCUCAUCGAUACCUUUACCAAAUCGUGUUCACCGCACCACUCUCAUUACCUGACAUAAUCAUUUCACUCUAGCCCAUCACCCAGAUGAACCAGACCUGACACGACUCUAAGCAUAGCAGGCAUAGCAAGGUAGGAACAACACAUACAUAUGGCUCAAUCAACUCCUACACAUGCUAGUGGGUUUCAUCUAGUUACUGUGGCAAUGACAGGUCAUGCAGAGGAAAUGGGUUCAACUAUCGCAGCACACAGCAGUUUGAAACGCGUUGUCUUAAUGCAGUAAAAGAGAGCAGGAGCGAGAACAUGGGAUUGUAUCAAUAUGAUCAAAUGGUUGGUUGCUUGCCUGAUGGUUCGAUGCACUGAUACGGUUCUUCGUUAGGGUAAUCACGAUACGCCUCGGGGGCAGAUCCUGCCGCAAGAAUACCGAUACACAACCAUUACCAAACAAUGUGCAACAAUAUGAUGCAUGCAUGAAACAUAGCAAUAUGAGUGUGUUGGGCUAAUGCAACUAAGACCAGAAGGGUUUGAACCAAUUUGAAUCAAAGAUUCAAAUUUCAAACUCAAACAUGGCCUUUUAAAGUGCUUUUCCUUGUUCUGCAUUAAACAUCAGGUUAACUUGUUUAAUCAUGCAUGAAAAUAGUACAGAUGGAUAGAUUGGAUUUUUCUGAUCAUUUUUCAUAUAUAAUUUGUCUGAUUUGGAGUUACAGAAUAAAAGUUAUGAAUUUUUGAAGUUUAAAUUAUAUUCUGGAAUUUCCUAUAUUAGAAUAAUUCCAGAAAAUCAAUUAUUGCGUCAGCCUGACGUCAGUGUGACGUCAGCAGGUCAACGGAACACGUCUGGGUCAAACCUGACAGUGGGUCCCGCGUGUCAGGGUGAUUAAGUUAAUUAGAGUUUAAUUAAAACUAAACCUGUUUAAUUAACAGGGCUGGGCCCCACCUGUCAUUGACUCAGGGGAGUCAACCAGGGCCCACCCGUGGUCAAACCCGGGUCGGCUGCACCGGCGUUUAGCCGCCGGCGAGCCCGACGCGGCGGCGGAAGUGAUUUUUGCCGUUCCGGCAACCAAACGAGCCGCGGAGGCCACCGGAGAGGAGCUGAGGUCGAGCCGCAGCUCUUGGUGGAGUCCGUUGGGGUCGGGGUGGCCGGAGUUGGCGCCGGCGACGACUUUGGCGGCCACCGGAGUUCGGCCAAAGUCGAACUUGUCGCUAGGGGGGAUCGGUGAGGUGCGGGGAGUGCACGGUUGGGCCUAACGCAGCGUAGUGAGUGCGUUGGACACCGCGGGUUGGACGGAGGAUGGCCGGGGGCACGUCGGCGACGAGAUCCGCGGCGGUGCGUGCGUGUGAUCUUCGUGCGGUGGCUGCACGGCUCGGGAAAGAGGGAGAGAGGGUCGGAGGGGUAGCUAGGCUCACAGCGCUCCCGUAGAGGCCACCGGCGAGGUCGGGGACGAGCUGAGGCGGCGACAGCGUUGAAGGGGAUCUCCGGCGACGGCGAGCUCGGGCGAGGUCGGUGCGGUGGUCUCGGGCUGCACGAGCACACGGGGCUCGGCUAGCUCGAUGAAGUGGACGGCGGCGGAGCUCCUGGACACAGUAGCACGGCGUGGGGUUGACAGAGGGCGUGGCUACGGCGAGGGGGUGGCGGCGAUGGCGUCGGCCAUGGCGUGGGAGAGCGAGGGAGAGGAGCUGGAGAGGAGAGGGGGUGUCUGGGAGGUUCGGGGGAGAGAGGGAAGCCGAUUCACGGCGUUAGCCGGGCGAGGGAGGCGGCGAGGCGGCGANNNNNNNNNNCCUGGACACAGUGGCAUGGCGUGGGGUUGACGGAGGGCGUGGCUACGGCGAGGGGGUGGCGGCGAUGGCGUCGGCCAUGGCGUGGGAGAGCGAGGGAGAGGAGCUGGAGAGGAGAGGGGGUGUCUGGGAGGUUCGGGGGAGAGAGGGAAGCCGAUUCACGGCGUUAGCCGGGCGAGGGAGGCGGCGAGGCGGCGAGCAGGUGCGUGGCACCCAUGCGGUGCUCGCCGUCGAGCACCUGCCUGCCUGCCUGGCCGGCAAGCAGCUCGCUGGCGCGGUGCUGGGCUGGGCCGGCAGGUGGGCCGGGUGCUGGGCGCCAGGUAAGCUUUUCCAUUUUCUUUCUGUUUUCUGUUUUUUUUAAUACUUCUGCAACUUUGUUGAAUUAAAUAAAAUACUUAGGCAACUCCAAAAAUCACCAAACUAAUCCUGGACCAUAGUUGGAUUAUUUCCAACAUGAAACAUUUUAGUUUGGAGUUAUUUGAGCAUUUAAAUAUUUUAUAUAAUUUUAAAUGCCCAAAUUCAAAUACUUAUGAUUUAAUUCAAAAACCCUAGGAUGGCCUAGGAAAAUGUGCACCACUUUUGGCAGAGGUUCUGAACCAAGACAAAAAUGAUGGGCAUUUUAGAAGGGCAUUUCAGGUUCAUUGAAAAAGUUUUUAGUAAACCCUAAUUGGUUUCAGAGGGGACUGGGGGUUCUGUCAUCCCCAUUUCAGGUUUCUGAUGAAAGAGUAAACAUGAUGCAACACUCUAAUGCAUGACUAGUUAGGGUGUGACAACUCACCCCCACUCAAAAGAAUCUUGUCCCGAGAUUUGGGUUCCUCCGGAAAGAAGGCGGGAUACUCAAGUCGAAGACGAUCCUCCCUUUCCCAAGUUGCUUCAUCCUCAGAAUGGUGCGACCAUUGAACUUUGAGAAACUUGAUAUUAUGACGUCGAGUGGUACGCUCGGCCCGAUCGAGGAUACGAAUGGGGUACUCUCGAUAUGUAAGAUUAUCUUGGAGAUCAAGCGUUUCGUGGUCCACUCCACGGAUAGGAUCCGAGAAGCAACGCCUGAGUUGGGAAACGUGGAAGACAUCGUGGACUCUGGAGAGGUGCGGAGGUAGUUCCAACUGGUAGGCAACUUCUCCUCGUUUGGUGAGAAUGCGAAAAGGUCCAAUGUAAUGAGGAGCCAAUUUGCCUUUGAUACUGAAACGAUGGGUUCCCUUCAGAGGGGUAACCCGAAGGUAAGCCUUCUCGUCAAUCUCGAAAGUCAUAGCCUUAUGUUUUCGGUCAUAUUGACUCUUCUGACGGGAUUGGGCUGUUUUCAAUUUUUCACGAACGAUGCGAACUUGCUCUUCUGCUUCCUGAAUCAUAUCCGGGCCAAAGAAUUGUCUUUCCCCGGUCUCUGACCAGUUAAGGGGUGUUCGACACCGUCGUCCAUAGAGAACUUCAAAAGGGGCUUUCCCCAAGCUAGAUUGAUAGCUGUUGUUGUAAGCGAAUUCGGCAAAUGGAAGGCAUUUCUCCCAAUCCAUUCCGAAUGAGAUGACAGAGGCUCGAAGCAUGUCUUCUAGAAUCUGGUUGACGCGUUCCACUUGACCACUCGACUGAGGGUGGAAAGCGGUGCUAAAGGAGAGACGGGUUCCCAUAGCAUUUUGGAAACUUUCCCAAAAUCGAGAGGUGAAAAGACUUCCUCGAUCCGAGUUAAUUUCCAAAGGAACACCAUGGAGAGACACUAUCCGGGAGAUGUAUAAGUCUGCCAAUUGACUAGCGGUUAUACUCUCACGAACAGGUAGGAAAUGGGCUACUUUGGAAAGGCGAUCGACAACGACGAAGAUAGCAUUAUUCCCUCUCUUGGUCCUGGGAAAACCGGUAAUGAAAUCCAUACCAAUUUUAUCCCAUUUCCAUUCAGGAAUAGCUAAGGGUUGAAGGGUGCCAGCAGGCCGUUGAUGCUCUGCUUUUACACGACGACAGACAUCGCAAUUAGCAAUAUACUGAGCAAUUUCUCUCUUCAUCCUAGUCCACCAGAACCUUUGGCGUAGAUCCUGAUACAUCUUGGUACUACCGGGAUGAAUGGUGAGAGGAGAUUCAUGAGCUUCCUUAAGGAUCAAUCGUCUCAGGUUUCGCACCUUGGGAACCACUAGUCGAUUCCCGAAGUAUACGACCCCUUGAUCAUUAAUGGAGAAACAAUUCGCAACUCCUUUCUUGAUGUUUCUCUUGAUGCGGGAAAUUCCCGGAUCUACCUUCUGUGCUUUGAUGAUCUGAUCCGUAAGGGUAGGUUUUGCCACCAAGGUGGAAAGAAAUCCUUGAGGAACAAUGUGAAAGUUAAGCUUCCGAAAUUCCUCAUGGAGAAGCGGUUGACUUUGUUGUAACAUCAGGUUGUUACAAUAAGAUUUACGACUUAGCGCAUCAGCCAUGACGUUGGCUUUCCCUGGGGUGUAAGUUAUUCCUAAGUCGAAAUCUGUGAUCAACUCAACCCAACGUCUUUGUCUGAGAUUCAAAUCCGGUUGGGUGAAAAUGUACUUCAGACUUUGGUGAUCAGUGAAUAUUUCGCAACGGUUACCGAGGAGGUAAUGUCGCCAGGUCUUAAGUGCAUAGACUACGGCUGCAAGCUCUAGAUCAUGAGUAGGAUAAUUCUCCUCAUGUGGGUGCAAUUGCCGUGAAGCGUAGGCAAUUACGUGUCGAUCUUGCAUGAGAAUGCAACCUAGUCCUUGUCGCGAGGUGUCGCAGUAGAUAACAAAGUCCUUGGAGAAGUCUGGCGGUACCAGUACGGGAGCAGAAGUCAGGCGUCUUUUCAGUUCCUGAAAGCUGUGCUCACAUUGUGGAGUCCAUUCGAAGUUCUUAUCUUUCUUGAGGAGUUCGGUUAGAGGUUUGGCAACUUUGGAGAAGUUCUCGACAAAGCGACGACAAUAGCUCGCUAAGCCCAGAAAACUCCGAACUUGCUUGACCGAUUCAGGUGGAGUCCAAUUAAGGACGGCUUGAACUCGCUCAGGGUUAACAGCAAUACCUUUACCAGAUAUUACAUGACCCAGAUAGGUCACUUCUGACAACCAAAAUUCACAUUUGGAAAACUUGGCAUAAAGGCGAUGCUCUCGAAGUUUCUUCAACACUAGCCUUAGAUGUUCGGCAUGUUCUUCCUCGUUCUUGGAGUAGAUGAGUAUAUCAUCGAGGUAAACCACAACGAAUUUAUCUAAAUACUCCAUGAAGAUUGAGUUCAUUAACCGAGAAAAGGUGGAUGGAGCGUUGGUUAAACCGAAGGACAUGACGGUGUACUCGUAUUGGCCAUAACGAGUAACAAAGGCCGUUUUAGGAAUGUCCCCAUUUCUAAUUUUGAUUUGAUGGUAGCCCAACCUCAAAUCCAUCUUGGAGAAGACUGAGGAUCCAGCGAGCUGAUCAUACAGAUCGUUGAUCCUGGGGAGCGGAUAUUUGUUCUUGAUUGUGACCAGAUUGACAGGUCGAUAAUCUACAACCAUCCGGUCCGUACCAUCCUUCUUCUUGACGAAGAGGACGGGGCAAGCCCACGGAGAUGAACUAGGUCGGAUGAAACCCUUUUUCAAGGACUCAUCGAGUUGUUUCUUUAGCUCGGCUAGUUCUAGUGGUGCCAUCUUAUAGGGUCUUCUAGCAAUCGGAACGGUUCCUGGAAUGAGGUCUAUUACGAACUCAACAUCCCUGUCAGGUGGAACACCUGGCAAUUCCUUUGGGAAGACAUCCGGGAAGUCACGAACUACCGGAACAUCCUCAAGGUCUGGCAAAGGGCUGGCGUUAAGAGAAUAUAAUUGUUGCUUGGCUAAUCGGGUCAAGACAUUGACUAUCCUGCCCGAAGGGUGAGUGAGUUGAACGGUCCUAGAGAAGCAAUCAAUUUUGGCAUGAUGAGCUGACAUUCAGUCCAUACCCAAAAUGAUAUUAAUAUCUGAAAAUUCGAGAGCUAUCAAAGAUGCAAGGAAAACAAGUCUGUCGACUUGGAUUUCAUUUCCAUAACUUACCCUGGAGGUCUGCCAUCUAGAACCAGGAGUAGAAAUUUCCAUAGUGGAUGGCAUGUCACAGAAUGCGGUGUUAUGCAAACGAGCAUAGUUCUCGGAUAUAAAUGAAUGAGAGGCUCCUGUAUCGAAAAGAACAGAUGCCGGAUGGCAAUUAACAAGGAGCGUACAGAGAACGACGUUGGGAUCCUCUUGAGCUUCUUAGGCAGAGAUACAGUUGACGUGGCCACGUGUAGCGGUGGCCGGCUUGGCGUGGAACACUUUCCAUGUCGGUUUGCCACGGCCAACAGCUUUAGCAGACUGGUUGGGGUUGGUCUGGGGACACUCACGCAUAUAGUGGCCAGAUUCCCCACACUUGAAACAAGUCACGGAACUAGUACGUGGAGGAGCAUUGUUGGUUGGACCCCCAUAGGGCUUGGCUGGAGCAGACUGUUGCACAGGGCGAGGCGCCUGGAAAGAUGGCCUCGGUGUGAACCUGGGUGGCAGGGCGGUGUUGGGCACCCACACGCGGCGCUUCUGAGGACCAGCACCGGAUGAGGAACCUAUGUCACGGCCAUGCUUGCGUGUUGCGUCAUAAUCAGUCUGACCAGUUUCAGCACUGAUGGCCUUGUUAACAAGUUUCUGAAAGGAUGUGCACUCAUGCAGACGGAGGUCGCGGCGAAGCUCAGGACUAAGCCCCUUACGGAACCUUGCUUGCUUCUUGGCACCAGUAGAAACUUCCUCAGUUGCAUAUCGUGCGAGGUUACCAAACUCCCUGCCGUAAGCAUCCACAGAGAGUCGGCCCUGAGUGAAAUUGCAAAAUUCCUCACGUUUACGGUCCAUGAGACCCUCCAGAAUGUGAUGUUCACGGAAAGCCUCGCUGAAUUCAGCCCAAGUAGUGACAUGGCCCGCUGGGCGCAUAGCUCCAUAAUUCUCCCACCAUAGACUGGCGGGACCUUCAAGAUGAUAUGCAGCAAAGGUGACCUUGUCAGCCUCCGCUACCAGCGCGGAACACAGUUUGUGAGAAAUACUGCGAAGCCAGUCAUUAGCGUCGAGAGGCUCGACGGAGUGGUGGAACGUGGGUGGAUGUAAUUUGAUAAAAUCACUGAGUGACACCACGUUAGUCCUCUGAUGGUGUGCUGUGUUCUGUUCAAUACGUUCCAACAAACGGUUGGUCUCCCGCUUGUUUCUCUCAGCUUCCAUCAUAACCUCGGCUAGGGAAGGAGGAUGAGGCAGAUUUGCAUUCCUGACUUCACUGCCUUCGGCCUGCUCUUGAGGAGCAGGGUUAGUGCGCGUGUUGACCAUCCUAGGUAAACAAGACAAUGAUUUAGUCAGAAUGAUAAAAUUCCGACAUAGGAUACAAAAUGUAAGGAAUAACUCGAAAUGCAAGAUGAUCAUCCGUAUGACAUGGUAGAUACAGAAACUGCUUCUUUAUUCCAUCGUCAUACACACCAUAUAGGGUUUAGUACAAGACCAAACAAAGUACUAAUAUGGUGAAAAGAGGAUUACAUCUCAUCGGAGGCAUCCCAAGCUCCUAUACAUUAUCCCACGAGUCACGCAGGACGAUAGACGACACAACUAGUACGAACUAGUGAUACUACCAGUAACUCAGACCGAUCCGUAGUAGUUCUCGUAGAAGUCACCUCCAUAGCCUGGAAGCUCACCAUGAUCAUCCGGAAACAGACGAUCUCGCGGAGCUUGUGGACCAUAGGGACUAGGAUGAGGUCUUGGACCAACAGACGGUGGCCUGCGGGGACCGCGAGGUGGGGUGAUGCCUCCUACAUCACGCCAACCCAUCACGUCUGGCAGAGCAGAUCUCACAGGAUAGAGAUCGCGCAUAUCCGAAUAUCCAGCUUGCACCGCCGGUGCAAACCGAGUCAAUGUGGCCCAAUGGUCAGCACGGGUAUUGAAGAGCUCUAACCUCAAGGCCCGAUUUUCACGGUCCUUAUCCUCGAGCAUCUCAGCAGUGGUGCGAGUCCGUGAAUCGUCCUGAGUGGGGUCAGCAUAGAUAGCCUGGAGAUACCCUUGUGCUCCCGGAAGUGAUCCUGGCAUAUACCGGAAAUCAGAGUCCCGAAAUAGACCAGAUCUGACUCGCAUGAUGGUCAUCAUAGAGUAGGCGGCGUCCUGCACAGCCAUCUCAAUAGUAACCCCGAGUCCAUAGGAGCAGUGAAGGGGCUUGGUGGACCCAGGAUAAGAUGGAAAUAUCCUGACAGUGCAGAGAUACUGGCUUUGAUUAAAGUCUCGGAAUUGCUCUUCGACCGUGUACUCAGGAUACCAACGGUAUCCAGCCUCAGUCAUUACCCUGACCAACAUGGCAGUAUGGCCGGGUACAUCUAGGCAUCGAGUCAGGCGAACCACUUGAUUAAGGUCGCGAGUGGCCAUCUGAAAACACAAUCAUAAUGCAAAGGCAUUAGAAUUUCUAGCAAAAUUUCGGCAGCAUAACAGCUGUAAAUGCUCAAGAAGGAUUUUGAGACAUUUGACAAAGGAUUACAUACACACUCAUCAUCAUCAUAUCAAGUUCUGAGUCCAUCCUAGCAACAUAAUGUGGUAGUAGAAUUGAACUAGGCUUGUAUCCAUCAAACUUAUAAGGUACUACUAAUUAGUAACACGUGAUCCCGAUGGAGAGAAUAGAUCCUAAUUCCUUAACCCCCGGUGGAAGGAUAGACUGACUCAGAUCAGAAUGUUAUAAGAUAAAGGAGUAAAAGAGCCUUACGUUCCAACCCACAAACAAUUCCCCUACAUAUAACUAAAGAAUUUCUAGACUCAACAUCGACCAGUUUGGCUUGGAGAACCUACAGGCAGUCCGGCUCUCAUGCCAACGCUGUCAGGACCCCGACUCGAUGUCACAUCGAUCUAGCCUGUAGCACCUCAUAUCACUUUGCGGCCUCACGCACGGUAUCCCCACGGGUGUCGCCUUACCUUUGCCCGGGACCGUUUGCGCCUUUUGGCUCACGUAUAUGAUAGUGUCGCUAGCAUCCAUAUGAUAAGGAGCCCGGGCUGACAUGACUAGUCGUAAACCCAAAGUGGCACAGACUUACAGCGACAGGCAUUCAUGACCCAGCCUCGAACGUGUCGAUCAACAGCAAGUGGGUCCGGGCUGUAGCACUGGGCUAGCAGGACUCCGGUAAACCGGGCUGUAGCGGGCUAACAGGACUCCGGUACUCAAUGCGUGACAUUUCCCCGAAGGGACAGACACCGGAACGAGGAAGGACACAUGCCGGCCAGCCUAAGUGUUCCAGAGCAGUAGCAAGCUACCAUGGCUCAGCGGUAACACUAGGAGACAUUUCCCGGUAAGAGAGGCUACUAAAGAUAACAACUAGAUAGUCAGAUCCCACACAUACCAAGCAUUUCAAACAUACACACAAUAUGCUCGAUAUGUGCAAAUACAACGAAGCAUCACAACAUGACUCUACGACACAAGUACUUUAUUUAAGGCUCAGAGAGCCAUACAUAACAUACACAAAGGUACGGGUCACACGACCCAGCAUUCAAGUCAUACAGUCAUACAAACCAGCAGCGGAAGUAACUUCUCUGAGUACAGACAACUAGUAAAAUAAAAGAGGCUUGAAAGCCUAGCUAUACUACGUGGUCCUUCACAAGCUCAGGAUCACCACCUGGGCCUUAGCCUACUCAUUGAUGUCAACGUCUACGUAGAACCCAUCAGAAGGGGUUGCAGCGUCUUCUGUAAAAAUGUAAAUUAUAGCAACAUGAGUACAAAGGUACUCAUCAAGACUUACAUCAGAUCCUACAUACAUGCAUAUUAUCAAGAAGGGUUGGUGGAGUUGUUGCAGCAAGCCAGCUUUGACUCUUGGCUAGACUAACCUACGAGACUCCAACUUGAAAUGGUUUUGCGCACACGAGUCCAUUACUCACCACUUCAAUACACUACCGAGGAUCCACCUCCGUCUCCCUACAGAAGAGCCAUCCUCGGCACUCACACUUAUCUUGAGGCUUUUAGUAGUUUCCAUUUACUUGUCUAUGAACUGUAUAGGCAACCAAGUAGUCCUUUACCGCGGACGCGGCUAUUCGAAUAUAUCAUGUUAACCCUGCAGGGGUGUACUUCUUCAUACACGCUCUCACCACUUACCGUCGUUUACACGACAUGUACUCGGCAACCUUCAAGCGGAAGCCCAACGUGGGUGUCGGCCACGACCUACCUAACCACCUAAGCCUCCAGUCCAGGUUUAUCGCCUAUCCAGGUUCCAUCCGCAGGGAGUCCGGCCGAGGUUUCCCAUACGGCCCCGAACGAUGUGAACAGGGUUCCCGAGAUACCUAACGGGUAUUCGGUACACCCGGCCACAUAUCUACCGCAUCACAGCCCACCCCUACGGUCAGCGCUGUCCACGGCCUCCAGUAGGCUACAAACACCAGAAACUACUUGCAACUCCUGGACGGAGAACUAGGGUGAAUAAGAAGCCGAGAGGGUCCAUUGGUUUCGGGCCCAAUGCAUGGUAGUAGCUGGUUCUUAAAUCACACAUACAGAUCUUAGUGCUUAAGGUCGACUUCAAUGAAACAACCCACCAUGUACUCCUACAUGGCCUCUCAUCGAUACCUUUACCAAAUCGUGUUCACCGCACCACUCUCAUUACCUGACAUAAUCAUUUCACUCUAGCCCAUCACCCAGAUGAACCAGACCUGACACGACUCUAAGCAUAGCAGGCAUAGCAAGGUAGGAACAACACAUACAUAUGGCUCAAUCAACUCCUACACAUGCUAGUGGGUUUCAUCUAGUUACUGUGGCAAUGACAGGUCAUGCAGAGGAAAUGGGUUCAACUACCGCAGCACACAGCAGUUUGAAACGCGUUGUCUUAAUGCAGUAAAAGAGAGCAGGAGCGAGAACAUGGGAUUGUAUCAAUAUGAUCAAAUGGUUGGUUGCUUGCCUGAUGGUUCGAUGCACUGAUACGGUUCUUCGUUAGGGUAAUCACGAUACGCCUCGGGGGCAGAUCCUGCCGCAAGAAUACCGAUACACAACCAUUACCAAACAAUGUGCAACAAUAUGAUGCAUGCAUGAAACAUAGCAAUAUGAGUGUGUUGGGCUAAUGCAACUAAGACCAGAAGGGUUUGAACCAAUUUGAAUCAAAGAUUCAAAUUUCAAACUCAAACAUGGCCUUUUAAAGUGCUUUUCCUUGUUCUGCAUUAAACAUCAGGUUAACUUGUUUAAUCAUGCAUGAAAAUAGUACAGAUGGAUAGAUUGGAUUUUUCUGAUCAUUUUUCAUAUAUAAUUUGUCUGAUUUGGAGUUACAGAAUAAAAGUUAUGAAUUUUUGAAGUUUAAAUUAUAUUCUGGAAUUUCCUAUAUUAGAAUAAUUCCAGAAAAUCAAUUAUUGCGUCAGCCUGACGUCAGUGUGACGUCAGCAGGUCAACGGAACACGUCUGGGUCAAACCUGACAGUGGGUCCCGCGUGUCAGGGUGAUUAAGUUAAUUAGAGUUUAAUUAAAACUAAACCUGUUUAAUUAACAGGGCUGGGCCCCAACUGUCAUUGACUCAGGGGAGUCAACCAGGGCCCACCCGUGGUCAAACCCGGGUCGGCUGCACCGGCGUUUAGCCGCCGGCGAGCCCAACGCGGCGGCGGAAGUGAUUUUUGCCGUUCCGGCAACCAAAUGAGCCGCGGAGGCCACCGGAGAGGAGCUGAGGUCGAGCCGCAGCUCUUGGUGGAGUCCGUUGGGGUCGGGGUGGCCGGAGUUGGCGCCGGCGACGACUUUGGCGGCCAUCGGAGUUCGGCCAAAGUCGAACUUGUCGCUAGGGGGAUAGGUGAGGUGCGGGGAGUGCACGGUUGGGCCUAACGCAACGUAGUGAGUGCGUUGGACACUGCGGAUUGGCCGGAGGAUGGCCGGGGGCACGUCGGCGACGAGAUCCGCGACGGUGCGUGCGUGUGAUCUUCGUGCGGUGGCUGCACGGCUCGGGAAAGAGGGAGAGAGGGUCGGAGGGGUAGCUAGGCUCACAGCGCUCCCGUAGAGGCCACCGGCGAGGUCGGGGACGAGCUGAGGCGGCGACGGCAUUGAAGGGGAUCUCCGGCGACGGCAAGCUCGGGCGAGGUCGGUGCGGUGGUCUCGGGCCGCACGAGCACACGGGGCUCGGCUAGCUCGAUGAAGUGGAUGGCGGCGGAGCUCCUGGACACAGUAGCACGGCGUGGGGUUCGGGGGAGAGAGGGAAGCCGAUUCACGGCGUUAGCCGGGCGAGGGAGGCGGCGAGGCGGCGAGCAGGUGCGUGGCACCCAUGCGGUGCUCGCUGUCGAAUACCUGCCUGCCUGGCUGGCUGGCAAGCAGCUCGCUGGCGCGGUGCUGGGCUGGGCCGGCAGGUGGGCCGGGUGCUGGGCGCCAGGUAAGCUUUUCCAUUUUCUUUCUGUUUUCUGUUUUUUUUAAUACUUCUGCAACUUUGUUGAAUUAAAUAAAAUACUUAGGCAACUCCAAAAAUCACCAAACUAAUCCUGGACCAUAGUUGGAUUAUUUCCAACAUGAAACAUUUUAGUUUGGAGUUAUUUGAGCAUUUAAAUAUUUUAUAUAAUUUUAAAUGCCCAAAUUCAAAUACUUAUGAUUUAAUUCAAAAACCCUAGGAUGGCCUAGGAAAAUGUGCACCACUUUUGGCAGAGGUUCUGAACCAAGACAAAAAUGAUGGGCAUUUUAGAAGGGCAUUUCAGGUUCAUUGAAAAAGUUUUUAGUAAACCCUAAUUGGUUUCAGAGGGGACUGGGGGUUCUGUCAUCCCCAUUUCAGGUUUCUGAUGAAAGAGUAAACAUGAUGCAACACUCUAAUGCAUGACUAGCUAGGGUGUGACAACAAAUAGCUAGUCAGGGCAUUGGACGAGCCAGUGACAAGCCCAGCAAAGAUAGGCAUCACCUGGAAGCCAACUAAAAAGCUGCGAUGGUGGCGAAGCAGCCCGCCUCCCACCAGGCUCUCAGGUCCUAGAUGAUCAUGCUCACCACUCCAGCCGGAUGUCUAGCUUGUAUUGCUUCCAAUUUGGUUAAAUUGCAUCUGCUUAGCUUACACAUUAUACCUUUGAAUAUGACAUGCCUUUCUGUUUUUGGUACAUACUAGUACAUCUGUGUAUUAACCAUGUUCUUACAUCAAACUAAUGUUCUUGUGUAUCCCUCAUCAAUCACUUAUGAUGAGGCAGGCAGGCAAGGGGACUACUCCUCAUUUAAAGAAUGCAGCAUCAGCCUCCCGACAUGAUUCUCAAGAAACAUAAAUGCUAGAUGAAGAUAAUGAACGUAGCUCUGUAGUUGAUUACAGCAUUUCCCCUAGACUAGCAUCGCAGGUGCUUGCUCUAACUUGGCAGCGUGAUAUGUGGUUGCAUGUUGCAUAUGGUGUCUAGAUUGUAAUUCUUCCAAUCUGGUUAAACUGCAUGUGCUAGUCUGCUUAGCUUAUACAUUAUACCUGUUAAUGUGACAUGCCUUCCUGUAUUUAGUACAUAGUACAUCUGUCUAUUAAGCAUGUCCUUACAUAAAACUAUUAUUUUUUUGUAUCCUGCAUCAAUCAACAUGACGAGACACCUUUAGUAUAUGCAGUGCGAUAUUAGUUGCAUCUUUCAUAUGAUUUAUAGCAUGCGCUGCUUCUAAUUUGUUGAAAUUCCAUUUAUGAUGGGACGCUUUUAACUUGGUAGAGUCAUAUUGGUUGCAUCUUUCAUGUGGUGUCUAGCUUGCACUGCUUCUUAUUUGCUGGAAUGGUUUCUGCUUAGUUUACACAAACAGUUGUGAACAUGCCAUGCCGUCCUGUUUUUCGUACAUAUUCCAUCCUGGUAUCAUGUGUUUGCCUUACAUCAAAGUAGUGAUUGUCAGUAUCAUGCAUGAAUGAGUUCUGAAGAGAGAAUUUUAUUGCUUUUUCUUGUCGGUUUUACUUGACAAUUCAAAAUCAAUAAAGCGGAAGGAAGUUAGCAAGGCAACGGAUAAAGGUGCUCCUUCCAAAUGGAGGGCCCCUACAGUUUCUACUCCUCCACACCCCAAUAUGAUUUCCAAGACAACACAUGCAUAGACACUCAACAAAGCUGUGUUUAUGAUGAGCACGUCUCCCCAAGUGGAGCAUCACCGGUGCUCCCUCUAACUUGGCACUGUUAUAUGUGGUUGCAUAUUAUGUGUGAUGUCUAGCUUGUAUUGCUUCUAAUUUUGUUGAAUUCCAUCUGCUUACUUUACACAUUAUACUUGAAUAAGACACGUGUUCCUAUUUCUAGAACAUACAAUAUCUGUCUAUCACACCAUGUUCUUGCAUCAAAUUACUACUGUUGUGUAACCUACAACAAUCACUUAUCAUAAGACACGUUUGACUUCAGAGUGUGAUAUAGGUUACAUCUCACAUUCUUUUCUAGCUUGUACUACUAAUUUGUUGAAAUGGCACUUAUGACGAGACAGUUUUAACUUGGUAGAGUGAUAUUCGUUGCAUCUUUCAUAUGGUGUCUGGCUUUCAUUGCUUCUAAUUUGUUGAAAUGCCUUCUCCUUAGUUUACACAUCAUAAGCCGUGAAUAUGAAAUGCUGUGAAUAUGCAAUGGCAGUAAUGACGAGAGACCUCUAACACGGUAGUGUGAUGUUGUUUGCAUCUUGCAUAUGAUUUAUUUCUUGUACUGCUUCACAUUCGUUUAAACGCCAUUUAUGAUGAGACACUGUUAACUUGGCAGAGCGAUAUUUGUAGCAUCUUUCAUAUGGUGUCUACCUUCCAUUGCAUUGCUUCUAAUUUGGUGAAAUGUCUUCUUCUUAGUUUACACAUCAUAGUUAUGGUUAUCUCUUCCGUCCUGUUUUUCAUACAUAUUACAUCCUCCUAUCAUGUGGUUGUCUAACAUCAAAAUUCAGUUUGUCUGCAUCACACAUCAAUUUGUUCUGAAGAACUAAAUUGUUACUCGUUUUUCUUGUUGGCUUGACUUAACAUGGCACAGAGAAAGAGGAAGAAACACAGAAUGACAGGGAAUGAGAAGCGGAUGAAUCCUGCAUAUUCUGCUGGUACUGAUGGUGCAAUAGAAGGUCAAAGUUCAGCGGAAAAUUCUACAAACACGACAUCCCAUGCUACACGAGUUGCAAAAAAAAACCAAACAGAAACAAAUAGCUGCCACCAAACAAGCAGAGACAGCCCUAGUUCUUGCAACACCUACCACAAUACUACCAGCUGCACGACUUACUCGUGCGUCAACUGAGCUAGCAGCAUGUUCCCAAGCUCCCUUGCCACCUGACACUACUUCCCAAGCACUCUUGACACAAGACGAGUUGGCAAUAUCAGAUGAACCUUGUGAGCUUCAACAGCAAGAAGGUAGUUGCUGGAGUCAAGUUACAGUUGCAUGCUUCUUUAUAUGUAGUCUCACAGCUUGAUGUACACUAACACUUCCUAUGUUCGUUGUUGGACUAGCACCUAGGUGCAAGAGGAAACAAACAUCAGGGAUAAUGCUCGAUAAGUUAACUAAAUCUAGAGGAGGAAGAAUGGAGAUCCAUUUUGAGGUAGGUUUAAAAAGACCACAUGAUGCUACAGAGUCAGCCAAGUUAGUAUCAGAGGCAGCGGUUGUCGUUAGGUGUCAUGUACGUAUCCUCCCAACAUUGAUUCAGUACAGGAAUGACAAAGACGAAACCCAGUUCAACACCUUCCUCGACCAUUUAUCUGUAAGUAUGGUUAUGUAUGGAAACUAGUAAUAUCGUCUUGCUCUGUCCCAUACUUUCUAGGUUGCUGAUAAUGAGACUCCCAUAAUUUUCAACAGAUGAGGUUCAAGUUGGAUAGCCAAGAUGAUGCAACCAGACAAGCUUGCACCCAUGUUUUCAAGUCUGCUCUGCGACAGUAUCGGUAUAACUUGAGGAAAACUCACUUUGAAGGAAAGGCUAACAGUGAACUUUCCCAAACAUCUCUAGUGGAAAAUAUAUCAGAUGAAGACUGGAGGGGCCUUGUUAAACACUAAUCUGAUCCGAAGUAUCAGGUACAUUAUAUAUAUGUGAUCAGAUCACAUGUUGAAGUCCUAUUUACGCAUGUGCCACACAAAUCUAUCUUCUUGUAGGUGAACUAUUCGAAGAACAAGGCCAACCAUACGAAAGUGAAAUUCCAACAGACGACAGGAUCUCGUAUCAAUAUUGCACACUGCGAGGCUCUUGUAAUUAGCUGCUGUUUCACUCUUUUCACUGGACCAUAUUAUCAGAUCUAUAUUAACUUGUUCGAAAUGCAGAGGAAAGCCCACAAGGACCAAAAAGUACCCGAACCAAAUGCUGUGGAAAUCUUCAAGGACUGUCACACCAGCAAGAAGAAGGGUAUGACUACACCAGUCAAAGCCGCUGUUGUAAGUCCUUAAUCCUCAUGCCUUUUAACUACUACUUACUCUGACUUGUGCCUUGAACUGCAUGGUUUGCAGCCAAUGUCUAUUACUCUUUUCAAUUUUAUACACAAUUGUCUUAGUGUAUCAUUGCACCUUACAAGGUUUAAAAGAAAGGAGUAAUGUUGCUUUGAUCUUGACCCGUAAUCUAGUUCCGUGGUGGACUUGCCCACACAACGUUACAAUUGCCUGUUUGUCUGUUCUCAGUUGUUUUGUGAUAUGAAUGAUGUCAUACUAUGCUUAUCGUAUUAUAAACUUCGUCUCUUUAUCCUUAGCCCUCAAUACAAUGUGAAUAAAUAGACAAUACAUUAGCGAUGGUACAUGGUCAUAUGUUUGGAACCUGGUUUUAUUAUGUACUUUGCAAUAAAAUACAACUAAUACUUUACAUGGGUUCACCAGAAUAAGUUCUAUAUAUAGACCAAAGCUAUUUUGUUUGGUUUUGCUACCUCCUUAAUAUCUUCUGUUUUGGUACUACUAAUGUAAAACCUCAACUUUUCAGCGAGCUAUGGAAAAAAUGGUGGAACCGCCACCUUUUGAAGGUGGCGAGGCAACUAUAACCGCAAUGUCAACUCUUGCUGCAGUUGGUCAGUACCUGUCCACUAACAGUGCCAAAAGCACGUUCCUGCAUAAUACUGGGUUGGUUGUUAAGGCAAUAUCGUCCAAACUGCCUCAUGAUCAAGAUAUGCAAGCUCAAAGCAAUGUUGUAUCUGCGCUCUAGACACAAGUCCAUUCCCUAACAAAGACCCUUUGUGAAAUAAGGAGAAACAUUGCUCAAUGUCGUCAAGAUAUGCAUGGUUUUGAAACCAGACUAUCAGACAUUUGCUAUGUUGUUCAGGAGCCUAGGGGAAAUGAAGGCGAGGGUUAUGGUUCUCCAUCGGACAAUACAACAUGAAAACGUAACAGUCAGGUCAAAUGAACUGAGCUUCUGAACUUCUGGUGGUGCAUUUAUCUGCUAGACUAUUAAGUUUUAUGCCAACCUUCCUUUUGUUAUAUAGUUGUAAUUUGUUUUGGUGCGAUACAAAAUUUAUUCUUAACGUGCAGCCACCGACUGAAGAAAACAGGAAGACAUUUUUGUAUAGUGUAGGGUGUUCCCUAUAUUUGCACUGGUGGCGAUCUUUGAUGCCGAGUGGAUGUAAUCUGUGCAAUCGCCUUAAUAGCCUAGCAUUAGGUUUGGCCUUAUUUAUUUCCUAGUCUUCUUUUUCCCUGGUUUGCUAGUGGCUGCAACUACCAUGGGCCAUAUACGGGCCGUAGGAUCCAUGGGUCUCCUACGGGCCAUCGAUAAAUGGGCCUGUAAUCGGUGGGCCUCGGGCCGUCGGAUAAAUGGGUCUACAUGGGCCAUAAUCGGGCGUAAUUGGUAUCGGCCCAGCACGGUAACAGGGCGUUAACAGGCCGUAGGACAGCAAAGGAUUAAUUCUGUCACAGGCAUAAUGGGUCGUUAAUGGCCCAGAAUAUAGGACGGGCUGGAAACGGCGCAAUGGGUUAACAGGCCGACUCUUGCCAUGGGCCUAAUUUGGCCCAUUAGGGGAACAUUUCAGUAAUGGGCCGACUCUUGCCAUGGGCCGAAUUUGGCCCAUUAGGGGAACAGGCCAGUAACGGGCCGGAAGUAAUCGAGGGCCGAAAAGGAGCCCAAGAAUGUAUGGGCCGUCAAUAGGCCGAAAGCUAACACGGGAUGGAAACGGCCCAUGUAAAUCAGGGCCGUUAACAGGUAUAAAGAAAAUUACUGUUCAUUAUGGGCUAGAGUCACCGUGGGCCUGUAAAGGGCCGAAAUAUACGAAGGCCUCAUAUGGGCCGAAAGACGUCGUGGGCCAUACAUGGGCCGAAAGUGAAAUGGGUUGGUGUUAUAUUCGACGGCCCACAUGACGUUGUUGGGCCGAUUUCCUUUAGGGCCUAAUGGGCCGUGAGUUAACGGGCCAUAAAAUGGGCUAUUUGCUAAGAGACCGUUAACAGGCAUUUCAUGGGCCAACCCGUUAACUUUUGACCAAGUCAAACGGGCCGACUUUGUAAGCUAAAUGGGCCAGUGGUGGGCCAUGGCACGUGUCGACAUAUCAUAGGCGCCUAUCUUACCCACUGACGAGCUGACACGUGUUUCGUCCGGCCAAUAAGAAUUUUACACGUGGAAAUUUCCCAUUGGUUGGGGCUGUUAACGGGUUAUCGGAUCCAAAACCCGACCCGAUAGCUUAACGGCGUUCCGUUAUGGUGGAUGCCACGUGUCGGUCACCCUUGACGAAAGCACUUCUGUGACGCGCGAUUUAUCGUCAUGGAAGUGCACACUUCCGUGAUGAUAAUUUUGGUAAUGUCAUGGAACACUUCUACGACAGCACAUGUAUGACUAUCUUGAUUCUGUCAUAAAAUCGUCAUGGAUGUACAUGCAUGACAAAAAACGCAACCUACUGUGACAAACACGUAUCAUCACGGAAGUGUAUUUUUUGUAGUGACGGCACAUCAGGCAGCAACCAGGAGAGACCCUCCAGAAGUACAUCCAGCACUUCAACAACACCCGCCUCAAGAUCCCCAAGGUCACUGUCGGCGUUCUGGGAACGGGGGUCCCCAGACUUGCCUACCUGCGGCCUGCGGCGUGGCUCAAAGGGGGGCCCAGCGCGGCCCAUCUUCACCAACACAAACCCAAGACCCUCGCGAGGGGCCAAGCCUCGCGGGGCAGACGAUGCGGAGCUUCCUCAGGCGCGACCUCGUUAGGCUGGCUCACGAGGAGGCGGAGAGAUCAAGGCGGGGUACCUCACGAGGUGCCCGUGACGCAAGCCAUGACGACCGAGGGCGCCAGGCGGGUGCCAGCCUGCGCAGCGCCCUCCCUUCCUCUUUGGUGCAAAGGGGGCAAGCGCAGCCACGGAGUACCGAGGCAUCAGGCAAAGGUUGCCAUUUCGGUGCAACAAGACCAAGACCAGGAGGACUACGAGACAGAGGUCACCGUGGAGCCCAAGACGGCGUCAUCACCAGAGCUUUGCGCAGGCGAAGACUGCUUUUGUCAGGAUAGUUGAUACUAGCUGUCCCCCUUCAAAUUAGCCCGCCAUUGUUGGCUCCCUUCCCGCUCGAUAUUUGGGAAGAGGACCAGGGCCUUUAUAAAUAGGACCAGCCACCCACAGGGAGAGAAAAAGGAAAAAAGAGAGAGAGGCUAGAGGUUGGGGAAGAAAGAGCUGGCCAGAGAGUUGGAAAGAUAGAGAACGUCAGGUAGAGAGAGAGAGAGGGGGGGUGACUGAGCUCCUCCCAGCAGUUCAUCGCCGCAGCCAACAGCAGACCCUCGCGAGGCUGUUCUUCCUUGUAUUGUUCAUCAUCAUCAGCCUAAGAGGCAAUCCACCACACCACACACUGGAGUAGGGUAUUACACCACAACAGUAGCCCGAGCCAGUAUAAACCCUGUGUCUCUUGUGUUGUUCUUUCCUUAGUUUAGAUCCUAGUAAGGCGGAGGAGUGCAGGUAGGUAGGAGGCGAAAUCUCCGCGCGCACCCCAGUGUUUGAACCUCAAGGGUCUGCCGAAACCCGAAAUCCGACAUUUGGCGCGCCAGGUAGGGGUGCGCCAGAAUCCACCCUCUACCGCUUCGUGCCCCGUCGCGUCGUUAUCACCGUGUCCGGCGACCAGGCGGGCAACCCAGAUCCGUGGGCGGCGUGGCCCGCCCGCACAGAGCCGCUUGCCUCGGGCGACCCUGUGCCCCAGGCAGCUUGCGGUCCGCAGGGCGCUGUGGGCCGCGGGCGACGCGGACAGGCUCCGACAGCUCUCACACCGCGGCAGGCAAGGUCGGCAGCAAGGGCCUCCAAUCACGCCGCGACCACGACACCGUACACCCGCAGGGAGCAUGCGAACUCGAGGGCCGCCCUCACUGUGGCCCGAGAGUUGCUGCAAUGCAGGCUGCUGGAGGGCGGCCACGACGUGUUGCUGGAGUGAGUGGCAGAGCUCCUGGGCUUCGCCGCCUCGGGGGCUCACCCCUUAUCCACCCAGCUCCCAUCUCAGGCCCAGGGCGGCCCGCACGGGGGCUCUGCACGCGCCCGCGGGCUCCAAGGCUACUCCAAUGCCAGCGAAGCUUUCAGCGCCGGACCGGCGGCGGCGCUGCCCCCGCCCCCGGUCCGCGAAGAAGAAGGACUCAACGCGACCCGCGACCCCAGUGGACAGUCGUGCUGCCACCCCACGGUGGGCGCGUCAGGCAGGACCUCGUGGCAUACGGGGCAUUACGGCGUGGCAUUCAGGAUGACGGCGCCGGAGGAAUACGUGCCCCUCAUGGUGGACCGAGGACACCCACACAAGAGCGGACAAGGCUCGCUCCUCAGCCCAAGCUGGGGGGACGAGGCACCAGAAGCUGAGCCUUUCUGGGAGCCCCGGAACGGUCCCACUAGCCACGAUGGCGCCAACGAUUAUCGGGUAUCGCUAAUUUUUCAGGAGCAGGCAUACGUUAACCAUGGAUCGCAGGAGGUGCAGGUCACCACAGCGAGCAGCUGCCCCGCUCCCACGGUCUCCUGCCCCUCGGGAGGAGGGCGCAGGGGGCUGCAGGAGAGGGGCCGGGAUCCGACAUCACCACCACGACGUUCGGAGCAAGGUGCUCUUAGGAGGUAGGCCCUUCGCUGGGGAGGUGCCUUAGGGCCUGCCCCCGGCGGAGGACCCGUGGUCGUCGGGGGAACCACUGGCGACCGCUCUACCCCAUCGGCGGCGUCUUGGUUUCCGGUCGUCGUCGAUGGCACUAGAGUGUGGCACAAGGCGGGGCCCUCAUCUGGCGAUAUGAAGCAAGGCCAGUACCUGUGAAGAAGGCCCAGUGCCUGUGAAGCUGGCCGCCCCGUGACACUCUCACGUAAUAAUGAGUGGGGUUGUACACGUCCCGGAGUCUCAGGGGUGCCGGCCUCAGGCCCUGGGGCUCCCUCCCACGCCCAGUGGCAGCACUUAGCUCCGCGCUGGUGAGAAGACGUCCAAGACUAGACUAGGUGCCGGACGUAGCCUUUUGUUUGCUUUCGCCGCUUUUCCCUUUGGUUGCUGUUUUCCCCCGCUGGAUUCAAGUUGGAUUCGAAUUUGAGAUUUGCGUGUGUUCGGGGAAGGGGUGCUUAGUCUCGUUCGAGCAAUUUCUCGCGUUUUGGUUACCGCAUCGCCUCGGCUCCCUCCCCUCGCGAGCCCCUCGCGAGCCGGGUCAGGCCAAGCUUGCGCGCAGCCUAAACUGCCGCCGACGUGACCUCUUAGGAGGAUGUUUUACUACAGAUCCUACUAAUCCAAUCAGGGAACACUCGAAGCACCACAACCCCCCGCGGGCUGCCUCAGGGCCAACAUGGGACAAAGGUAAACUAGCCGACCAGCGCGUCGCUUGAGCCAACCACUUGGCGCGGGCGCAUGGGCAAUGUAGCGUCUACCAAUACGAUUAACACAAGUUUUACAUAAGGGGCUGCCCCUCCAAAAUGCUCUAACUACAGUCAGGCCAAAACCUGAGUUCUAUUCAUGCAGGGUAAGGAAGUAUGAGCGAUGCGCAAUCAGUCGGAUGAAUCCCCCAAUGCGUUCUCAAGAGCACCACCCGAGCCGUUGCUGGCGUCGCUGAACUCGCCAUCGCUGUCCGCGUCACCGCCAGCGGUGUCAGGGCCGUUCACCACGCCGCCCUCGUCGGCCGCCACGGUCGCGUCGUCGUUGUCUGAAGCGAAGGCCCUGAUGAGAGCAUCCACAUUGUCCUCCACCCAGUGCGCCAGGUCGCCUCGGAUGGCCUGGGGGACUGGGGCGAUGGCGGCGUCAAAAUCAAAGUAGGGAUCCAUGUUCUGGAGGUGGCUGAAGACGCGAUAAAAGGCGCGCCCAAGCAGGCCGCGGCUCGUCUCCUCCACCAACCUGUCAGCCCUGACCGACCGCGCCUCCAGCUGCGUCACCACAUCAGUGAAGAACUGAAGAUUGCCAGCAUAGUUGACUGCGUGCGGUUCGCCAACAGCCGCCUCGCAGAUGUUUCCCAAGGCUGCGUUGGCUCUCUCCCGGAGCGUGGCAAGCAUGGGGUCGUGCUCAUGCUCCAGGAUCCGCCGCUGACGGAUCUCGUCCGCGUUCUGGCCCGCGACGACAUCAGCCUCCUCCACCCGCUGGUGGAGAAGGAGCACCUCGGCCUGGGAAGCGGUUAGCUCACCUUGCAUCACCUCAAGAGCGGCCCGGAAAGCGUCGGCCCGCCGCGUCGCCUCCUCCAGCUUGGCCCUCAAGGCAGCAGUUCUGCCUUCAGCUGCGGCUUGGAUCAACCCCAGCUUCUCGUCGAACUCGUGCUUGAGGUUCAAAUGUGCCAUCGCCACUCGACGUCCGACCUCCUCCAGGACGCGGGCUUCUCGUGCGGCAACAUCAUCCUCCGCCUGCAUCACCAAGCGCUCCCUCGUCUCGAGACACUCGUACUCACGGGUGCGUUCUGCGGCUUCCAGCGUCAGCGCCUCCUCGCGCUUCUGGAGCUCUGCUGAGUCACCGGAGGCCACCUUCAUCGACGCGAGAGCUGCCUCGCGCAGCUCCGCCUGCUCCUCAAGUGAGUGGCACCAGGCCAGGAGCUCCCGAGCCUGCUCCUCCGCUGCCGUUCGCCGCUGGUUAGCUUCCCGAGCCUCCUCAGCGGCCCAAGAUCGGGCCUCCCGAGAGGCCACCAGCGACGCCUUGGCCUCUGCAUCGUGAAGAUCGCGCUGGCGGCGCGCAAGGGCGAUGGCGUCCUCCAGCUCGCGCCUCUCUGCAGCCAGGCGCAAGCCCUCGGCCUCAAGGCGCGCGUCUUCAUCGGCAAGCUCCUCUCCAAGCAGGCUUACCGCGUCAGCCGCCCUUCGAAGGAAUCCUUGGCGGAGAGUGCGACACUCCCGAGCAUGCUCGAGCACGUCCUCCACACCAUCAUCUGCCCCAAGCAAGCGCCGGGGGCCGCGAGUCAGCACUCCCCCUCCGGGCUGGGGGCUGGGGGCUGGCAACCUCGCGAUGGCCGGGCACGCCGCGUCAGAAGCCCGGCCGGGGGCCAGCCCGUCCCCAGGUGAAGAGCACAGGAAGCGCCUCAGCCAAUCACAGUCCACGACCAGGCGAGAAGCCCACAGCAGGCCGGCUAUGCCAUGAGAAGGCCCGCGAAGGAUCGCGAGGUACGCAGGGCCACGAUACGCCUCGGGACGGUUCGCCGCGUCAGUCGCCCUCACCACAAGGGCUCCACUGCUUGGAGCGCUUGAGGACGGUGGAGGGGGCGAAGCCAAGAGGGACGGCUCCUCAGCCGUCUCCGCAAGCUCGGCUGGAAGGGGCCUGCGGAGCAAGAGUCAGUAAGAGCAACAGAAGGAUCGGGAGCUGGGAAAGGAGAAGGCUUACUCAUCAGUGGCGAAGUACUUCCUACGCUUCAGCAGGCGACAAGGGUAAUCGUCGCCCAGGGCCUCCCUUCUCUUUCGGAGGGCCUGAAAGUCCACGCGGAAGCGGCCUAAGAGCCGGGCGCAGGGAUCAACCUGCGACGAAGAUGGAGCGUCAAGGCGAUCUGCGUCAGGGGCGCCUGCCUGGCGUGCACCGCCAAUCGCCUCGCCAAGAGAAGCCGUCGGAGCCUCGGUGGCCUCGGUCGAAGGCGCAGAGGGCAGCUGCUUGUCACCCUCAGCCUCGGUGGCACGGGCCCCGAUAACUGCUUCCUCACGAGCCUCGCCGGGCGUUGUCACCCCGCCGGGAGCCCCUCGGCCUCUGGCACCUCUUGCCUCCCUGCUCCGCCACUUGAGGAAGAGUCGCCUGGGCCGACUGGAAGGGCAGUCACCACCACUGGGUUCUCACGAGGCCCCUAAAGGCCGGCGGGGCGCGGCCCCCACUCAUCGAAGAUAGGCAUCUGCCUCACCAAAUCGCCCCCACUCUGGCAGAGGUACAGCAAGGCCCCUCCCUGCUGGAUACUGCCAGGGUUGGGGUCCCCCGUCAGGGUCAAGAGCACCGCCCUCAGCACGUCAGGCGUCAGGUCCUCUUCCUGGAGCCUCAUACGAUCAUCGCGCCCGCUGAAGGCCCACAUCCGGCGAGAGUGGCGCUGGAGAGGAGCAACGCGGCGCAGCAGGAACUCCUUCACCACCUUGGGCGCUGUCGCGCCAAGCGACCUCAAGAACGCGAAGCAGUGCCAGACGAAGACGAGACGGGGGCUCUCAAGCGUCUCCUGGCCCCAGCCCGAAUUGGGGACAGCAGGCGAAGUUAGCUCCGAUAGCAGGGGGCUGGGCACCCCAGCAUCCACAUACAGCCACCGCUCACGGAACCCAGCCGCGGGUGGAGGGAGCUUGAAGUCAAUCCCAGAGGCCGCCAUCUCAGGCGCGGCAACGAAGCUGACACACGCCCAGCGUUGGGUAGGGUCAACAAGGCGCGGCGAGAAGAAGUGGCGCAACAAGGCAACCGAAGGAAGGAUGCCCAUCAUAGCCUCGCAAACAAAGGCGAAGACCAAAAGGAGAGCGAUGGAUUCAGGACCCAGAUGCAUCGUGUGGAUCUGAUAAUGGGAGAGCACGGCAUUGAAGAAAUCAGAAAAGGGAGGAACCAGACCCGCCCACAGGGCGUUGGCAAAAUACGGGACCUCGGUGGCUAUCCUGCCGAUGGAGAAGUGGGACGCAGGCCAAGCCGUCGUCCUCCCGCAUUCAUUGAAGAUGGUGGCCAGAGCCAAGCUGGCCUUGCCCAAGACCUCGGCGGGGGCCGCCAACGACGGCGGGCAAGGCGGAGACACGGGUUUCUCCCCUCUCCCCUUCUUCGUCGGAGCCAUGGCGAUGGGAAGGGGGGGAGGUUCGAGAUUGAAUUGGAAACAGAAACCAGAGUUCGAGCGGAGGAAGGACAGAGGGCGCUCGAGCAACCAAACAGGGGAACGGCUGUGUACGACUACGAGUCCGCCCAGCAUGGCGCAAAAUAAGGAUGGCGUGGGGGAACAGUGCUGCCCACGUCCAAUCAACCACCACGCGACGCCCAAGGCCGCAGGCUGUUAGGGCCCGCGGCGCUUCGCUCUUACCCUUCCGCCUCCCUGCACGGCCAAGUCCGGGCGUGCCUUGGGCCCGGGGCUACUGUCGGCGUUCUGGGAACGGGGGUCCCCAGACUUGCCUGCCUGCGGCCUGCGGCGUGGCUCAAAGGGGGGACCAGCGCGGCCCAUCUUCACCAACACAAACCCAAGACCCUCGCGAGGGGCCAAGCCUCACGGGGCGGACGACGCGGAGCUUCCUCAGGCGCGGCCUCGUCAGGCUGGCUCACGAGGAGGCGGAGAGAUCAAGGCAGGGUACCUCACGAGGUGCCCGUGACGCAAGCCAUGACGACCGGGGGCGCCAGGCGGGUGCCAGCCCGCGCAGCGUCCUCCCUUCCUCUUUGGUGCAAAGGGGGCAAGCACAGCCGCGGAGUACCGAGGCAUCAGGCAAAGGUUGCCAUUUCGGUGCAACGAGACCAAGACCAGGAGGACUACGAGACGGAGAUCACUGUGGAGCCCAAGACGGCGUCAUCACCAGAGCUUUGCGCAUGCGAAGACUGCUUUUGUCAGGAUAGUUGAUACUAGCUGUCCCCCUUCAAAUUAGCCCGCCAUUCUUGGCUCCCUUCCCGCUCGAUAUUUGGGAAGAGGAUCAGGGCCUCUAUAAAUAGGACCAGCCACCCACAGGCAGAGAAAAAGUAAAAAAGAGAGAGAGGCUAGAGGCUGGGGAAGAAAGAGCUGGCCAGAGAGUUGGAAAGAUAGAGAAGGUCAGGUAGAGAGAGAGAUGGGUGACUGAGCUCCUCCCAGCAGUUCAUCGCCCCAGCCAAGAGCAGACCCUCGCGAGGCUGUUCUUCCUUGUAUUGUUCAUCAUCAGCAGCCCAAGAGGCAAUCCACCACACCACACACUGGAGUAGGGUAUUACACCACAACGGUGGCCCGAACCAGUAUAAACCCUGUGUCUCUUGUGUUGUUCUUUCCUUAGUUUAGAUCCUAGUAAGGCGGAGGAGUGCAGGUAGGUAGGAGGCGAAAUCUCUGCGCGCACCCUAGUGUUCGAACCUCAAGGGUCUACCGGAACCCUAAAUCUGACAGUCACGGACGAGGCCAUCAUCUCCGCGUUCUUCGACGGCGUCCGUGACGUCAAGACGAAGGAAGAGCUCGCCAUCCACGAGGAGCUCUUCACAUCUCAGGAGCUGUUCAACCUGGCGACCAACUGCACAAGAGCCGAGGAGGGGCGCCUCUCUCUCCUUGAGCUGCGAGCCAUGGGCGCGGAGGAGAAGAAGGCCAAGGCCAAGGACGUGAAGCGCAAGGAGGCAGCUGUGCUCGCAGCGGAGCCCGACAUCAAGUGGGGCAGAGAUCAGCCCGAGUCAUCCAAGAACGGCCGACUGUUCUACGCCUUCCACAACCUGAACACCCACAACACCAGCGACUGUCAAGAGCUCAGAGCCAUACGAGAAGGACGCUAUGGUCGAUGCCCCGAGCACAACGACCGGGGCUACGGCCGUGGAGGAGGACAUGGAGGCGGACGUUGGGACGACCGUGGCCCGCGCCAGGAGUGGCGCGACCGGCCUCGUGAGGAUCGCUGGCAGGACCAACCUCGCGAGGGCGCCUGGAGUGACCCGCCGCGUGAAGAUCGCCCCCAAGGCAACGCCGGUCUUCCCCCACUGCCACCACAAAGAAGGAACGACGACAACCACCAGGACAAGGGGGCUGGCGGCUUCCAGGAGCCGUGUGCGAUCGCUUGCAUGUUAGGCGGCGCCCAGGCCCCAGCCUCUCAGUGCACCUUCAAACAAUUCGCUCGCGAGGUGAAUGCGGCACUCCCAAAACUCGAGGCCACGCGCCCGCUCAGGUGGUCCCAAUGCGCCAUCACUUUCAACUCGGCAGAUCAGCUCAAGUGUGCAGCCACCGUCGACGCCCUCCCUAUGCUGUGUUCCCCAGUCAUCAGCAAUGUGCAGGUCACCAAGACCCUCAUCGACAGCGGCGCAGGGCUCAACGUCCUAUCCAUCGACAUGUUCGACAACCUUCAAGUGCCUUAUGAACAGCUCUAGCCCACCAAGCCUUUCUCAGGAGUGACCGGCGGCUCCACCACACCGAUAGGGCAGGUCCGCCUGCCCGUCACCUUCAGGGAGCACAAGAACUACCGCACCGAGCUCAUCGACUUCGAUGUCGCGCACAUCCGCCUGCCGUACAAUGCCAUCCUCGGGUAUCCAGCCGUGGCCAAGUUCAUGGCAGUCACUCAUCACGGCUACAACGUUCUCAAGAUGCCUGGAAGCGGAGGAAUCAUCACGGUCCCGUGUGAAGAGAGGAAUGCGGUGUGCUCCCUCGAGCGCGCCUUUCAAGCCGCAGCAAUCGACGACCCCGAUAGCAGAAAUGAAGGCCCUCUGGAGGCCAUCCCCAAGAAGAAGCAGCCGCACCGUGCAGGACCUCAAGAGGAUGGCGUCGCGAUAGGAGCCUCGUCAGGACCAGCGCCCGCUCCAGGGGCGCCUCCCUCCAUCGCAUAGGAAGGCGUGCCUGGCGCCCUCCUCAGGCAGGGCUCGAGGGCUCUCUUCUGGAGUGCCUCAGACCUUGCCAACCUCACGAGGGAGGCGCUUGGGCACCACUUGGAGGCGUGCUUCGCGGCACGCGACCCUCAGGAGAGCACAGGGCAAGGAGUGCCCACCACUCAGGAGUUCAUCAUCAGGACCACCCAGGAACUGCAAGAAGCAAGAGCCAUGCGUGGCGACAGCCGCCCACGAGGCGCAGCUCCGUAUCCCGGCGAGGAUGCUGGGCUGCGUGUCUGCAUCGACGUCCCGGAGCUCAACAGGACCGCAUCCCAGGAGCAUAUCUGGCCUUCGCGUGUGGGCCGCUGCGAGGGCCCGCCACACAUCUAUGUUCGAAUGCCUUUUGGCUCACCGAGCGUGGCGUCGGCCUAUCAGCGCAACAUGCGGUGUGUCCUGGCGGCUCAGGAAGCCAGGUACCAUGCCGUUCUGGAGGAGAUGGAGACGGUCUUUGGGGAACCUCCCGAGCCCCCAGAGCCUCCCGAGGCUCAGGGUUCUGGCGGCUCAUGAGGAAUCAUUUCUUCAACGCACGCCUUCAGCUGCACUAACUCUACUUAAUCCAUAGAACCAGGUGACAUCUUCCAAGUUCGUUUAGCUGGGAGCGCCCCUCGGGCUGCAUUAUUCCCAAGCCGCGUGGGUCCGUCCCUGUGGCAUGUAUCCCUUUUACUUAUGCCUUUAGCUUACCUUGUUGGGGGUGCCCCUCGGGCUGCAUCAUCCCCAAGCCGCUCGGGCCGGACCCCGUGGCAUGUAUCUUCCUGCAUUUAUCUGAAUUGAUCUGCUCUCCAUGCUUAACCUGCCAAUUGCUUUCACCUGCGCGAUUGCUGCCCACCACGGGUCUGUUCAUCCUAUGCAAUUCGCUUGCACGUUAAAAGGGGGGCUCCUAAGCAUUGCGACUUAGGAGCUCUUACUGGCUCUCCAGCCCUCACCCCCUGGCCUUGACCAUGGCAUCGCGACCUGGCAUACCAGCGACGGCUGAGCUAGCUCGAGGAUCGGGACCUGAGGACCUAGAGUGCUUGCAUCUAACUGCCUUGCAGGGACAUAAAGUCACCAAGACUCAAGACCAGGCGCAACCCGCCUUGAGGUAGGGCCUCGUGAGUCCCGCGCUGUCUCACAAGUGCCCACAUACACCUCGCAGCCCUGCCGUGCAAGCCACGUGUCAGGUCCGGAGGGGCCCUCCAUCCCACGCCCAAGUGGAAGCACCAUGCUCCACGCUGGCUGUCAACACUGCCGAGGAGCGGCUAUGCCUGUGCACAAGCUGAAGCACUAUGCUCCGCGCCGGUGAUAAACAACUGAGGGCAGCCCCACGGUCGUACCAACCUUAGGGAGCCCAGAGCUCAGGGCCCAGCCUCACCCCAAUGCCUCCCCUCGGGAGAGCCGCACGAGGGGGCUGGGCACGGGGGCUGCGCUCGGGUCACGCCCAAGUGCACGCCACCCAACCAGGUCCCCCGGAACUGGGCAUCGUGCGCCCCUCCCGAGGCCUCAGCGAGGGCAGGUAUGGAAAUUAUUUGCAUGUCAAGGGGGACUCCUGAGCAUCGCGAUUCAGGAGCCUAACUGGUCACGUAGCCCCUCACUCCUUGGUCCGUCCUGGUCUCCGGUCGACCCAAUGGCGGUUGAGGUGUGCACGUGGCCGGGCUCUGCCGACGUAGAACAUUGAUCUAUCCUCACGAACUCUCCCUAUAUGCUGUUUGCGUGUCAAGGGGGACUCUUGAGCAUCGCAACUCAGGAGCCUAACUGGUCAGGUAGCCCCUCACUUCUUGGUCCGUCCUGGUCUCCGGUUAGCCCAACGGCGAUUGAGGUAUGCGCGGGGCCGGGCUCUGCCGACGCAGAAUGCAAAGCAAAUAGGAAGGAAAUCGCAAAAUCUCGAAGCAAAUAUUACAAGCAUACUGUUCUCACAAUACCAAAUGAAAAUUCUAAAUGCCUCCACGAGGCCUAAUACAUGUCGCAGGAACGAAACGGGAAGAAUUGCCACAGGUCACCCCUGGAUAUCGCCAUCGCCUGCGAAAGGGGCUCCCUCGUGGGCAACGAUGUUCUCACCUUCACCACUAGCCGUAGGACCCGCGACAUCGCCAGACAAAGGAUCGGAGCCAAAGCCACGGAACAUCCCCAGCAAGGCCUCCACUUGACCUUGUACAGCCGCGGCGGCAGCUUCGCAGUGGUCUUCGGCCACAGGCUCCAGCAACUUGUCAAGGCGAGCGCUGGGGUCGCGGAGGUGCAGAUGGCUGAAGACGCGAGUCAGUGCGGCUGAAGACAGGACGCGAGCUUCUGCCUCUACCAUGGGACCAAGGCCAUCAAUGACCUCCUCAAGCGCCCUCACCACGAGAGGAAGCAGCUGGGCGGGGCCGUCCUCGUCGGUGUCCAGUGGCUUCUCCAGGCCAUGCUCGUAGAGUGUCUUCAGCGCCUUGCGAGACCUCUUCUCGAUAUCAGCGAAGGCCACAUGGUCUUUGGCCAGUACUUGCGCCUUGGCAUCCAAAUCGGCCUCCCUCGUCCCCAUCUUCCGCUCCAACUCUUCCAACCGGUUGCGCUCGGCGGCCUGCUUCUUCCCCAGCUCCGCCAGCUUAGCAUCACGGUUCUUGACGGCUUCCUCCUGGGCCUUCAUAUUCUCCUCCUUCGCUUGGCAACAACGUACCUCUUCGGCGUGCUUGUCAUGCAGGCUCUGCAACUCGCCUUCCAGCGCUUGGCAGCGGUCACGGGCGGCCUUGGCAUCUUUCAGCGCCGCCUCACGAUCGGCUGCAGCUCUGGCGUCUCCUUGCUUCUCCUCCUCAGAAGCCGCAGCAGCCUGGCCCAGCGUCACACGAACCGCAAGGUCGGAGUGAAGCCAGCCAGAGGCCAACUCUAGACGCCCGGCCACCAGGCGUGGGUCCGCGCUCAGGAGAUCCACCUGCAGCUGGGUCAUCUCUGAAAGGGCACGCUCCAAGACAAUAGAGGGAGCAGAAGAACCAGGGAAUGGAGGUGAUGCGGUGGGAGGAAGCGACCCCGUCACCAGGGCUUGGGAGACCGCGGGUUCCAGAGCAGCUGGGAUCUCAUCAGCCGCGUCAAGCGCCGGCACCUCCGGAGCCAGCGGGGCCAUGGGGGCUGAUUCCACGCGGUGAUGUUUCUCUUGGCCCCGCGAGGACGACCGGGCUGGGGAGAUGCGGGCGCUGCUGCCUCCUUUCUUUGCGGAGGGAGGCACGGCCGCCGUAUCCUCCUUCCUCUUCGCCGGCCCAAUCAACCAAAGGCGAGCGUCAGGAAAUAACAGGUACCGUGAGGGAUAAAGUGAAGCUCAAGAUACCUACCGGUUCACCGCGAAGUACUCCACCUUUCGCUUGUGAAGCUUGAAGCCUGACAACAUCGGGACCUGAAGGGCAGGCGUUUGGGUUCUGGCGGGGCCAGGCGGUGCGGAGGCAGAAUCGGAUCCAGCCCCAGGAGGUGUUGGGACGGAGGCAGCACCACAGACCACCAGCAACGACCUACCCUUCAUUGGGAUGCGGGGUUGCUCCCUCCCCCUUGGUAGGCAUCGGCUUCGGCAUCAUCAGGAAGGGCGCGGAGAAUCUCGGCCUUUCUCAGAAGGGAAGUGUCCCCCACCUCUUCCAGGGUCUUCUCUGAGUCCACCUCCUCCUCCACCUUUCCGCGGGACUAGCAAGAAGACACCUCCAUCGGUUUCUGCGCCAUAGGAGCUCCCGGAAGCACCGGUGGCACCAGCCCGCGCGCAUCAAAAGUCGGCCUGGAGGCGAAGAAUUCCUCCCGGUCCCUGCAUUGGAACAGGGGAACGAAGGCGCUAGGUGGAUAAUCCUGGUUGUCGUCGACUAUGAGGCGUAGGACGACAUCCAAUUCAUCGCCAGGCAGGUCCCCUGGCCUCAGGCGGGUCUUGUUUUCCUCUUCUUUGAGCUCCCAGAGGGGGCGCGCGCGCCUGGAGUGGGGCAACCCGCAGUAUCAAGAACUCCCUCAGGAGCAUCGCCCCCGUUAUCUUGGCCGCCCCAGUCAUCAUCUGCCCCAACACUGACGAUGCCGGCUCGUCGACAAGCUCCGCCUUGGACCACCCCUUGCCCUACCGGGGCGCCUCCGUCGGCAACACCAGACAUGGAUGGGCGUGCUUGGCGUCCAUCAUGACCCACUUGGAUCGAAUGUUGUCGGCUCUCUUCCCGGUGCUCGAGAUCGAGUUGGCCUUGCCGCGGGCGACGAAAUUAGCGCACCCGGAGGCAUGCUCGCCGUUGACGCGGAGGAAGAAGAAAUGGCGCAGGAGCGCCACGGACGGCAUCACGCCCAGGUACGCCUCACAGUAGUAGGCAAAGAUGGACAGGAGGAGAACAGAGUUGGGAUGGAGGUGCAACGUUGAUACGUCUCCGUCGUAUCUAUAAUUUUUGAUUGUUCCAUGCCAAUAUUCUACAACUUCCAUAUACUUUCGGCAACUUUUUAUACUAUUUUUGGGACUAACAUAUUGAUCCAGUGCCCAGUGCCAGUUCCUGUUUGUUGCAUGUUUUUUGUUUCGCAGAAUAUCCAUGUCAAACGGAGUCCAAACGGGAUAAAAACUGACGGAGAUUUUUUUGGAAUAUAUAUGAUUUUUGGGAAGAAAAAUCCACGCGAGACGAUGCCCGAGGGGGCCACGAGGCAGGGGGCGCGCCCCAGGGGGGCACGCGCGCCCCUGACCCUCGUGGCCACCCCGUAAGGCGGUUGGUGCCCUUCUUGCGCUGCAAGAAAGCUAAUAUCCGGAUAGAGUUCGUGUUAAAAUUUCAGCCCAAUCGGAGUUACGGAUCUCCGGGAAUAUAAGAAACGGUGAAAGGGUAGAAUCUGAGAACGCAGAAACAGAGAGACAGAUCCAAUCUCGGAGGGGCUCUCGCCCCUCCCACGCCAAGGACCAGAGGGGAAACCCUUCUCCAAUCUAGGGAGGAGGUCAAGGAAGAAGAAGACGAAGGGGCGCCCUCUCCCCUUCUCUUCUGGUGGCGCCGGAACGUUGCCGUGGCCAUCAUCAUCACCGCAAUCUUCACCAACAACUUCACCGCCAUCAUCACCAACUCUUCCCCCUCUAUGCAGCGGUGUAACCUCUCUCUUACCCGCUGUAAUCUCUACUUAAACAUGGUGCUCAACGCUAUAUAUUAUUUCCCAAUGAUGUAUGGCUAUCCUAUGAUGUUUGAGUAGAUCCGUUUUGCCCUAUGGGUUAUUUGAUGAUCAAGAUUGGUUUGAGUUGCAUGUUUUAUUAUUGGUGCUAUCGUAUGGUGCUCUCCGUGUCGCGCAAGCAUGAGGGAUCCCCGUUGUAGGGUGUUGCAAUAUGUUCAUGAUUCGCUUAUAGUGGGUUGCGUGAGUGACUGAAACACAAACCCGAGUAAGGGGGUUGUUGCGUAUGGGAUAAAGAGGAGUUGAUACUUUAAUGCUAUGGUUGGGUUUUAACUUAAUGAACGUUAGUAGUUGCGGAUGCUUGCUAAUAGUUCCAAUCAUAAGUGCAUGAUCCAAGUAGAGAAAGUAUGUUAGCUUAUGCCUCUCCCUCAUAUAAAAUUGCAAUAAUGAUUAUCGGUCUAGUUAUCGAUUGCCUAGGACAAAUAACUUUCUCGUAACAAAAAGCUCUUUACUAAAACUAACUUAGUUGUGUCUUUACCUAAACAGCCCCUACUUUUUAUUUACGUAAUCUUUAUUAUCUUGCAAACCUAUCCAACAACACCUACAAAGUACUUCUAGUUUCAUACUUGUUUUAGGUAAAGCGAACAUCAAGCGUGCGUAGAGUUGUAUCGAUGGUCGAUAGAACUUAAAGGAAUAUUUGUUCUCGUUGGGUUCGACACUCUUACUUAUCGAAAACUGUUGCGAUCCCCUAUACUCGUGGGUUAUCAAGACCUUUUUCUGGCUCCGUUGCCGGGGAGCAAUAGCGUGGGGUGAAUAUUCUCGUGUGUGCUUGUUUGCUUUAUCACCAAGUAAUUUUUAUUUGCUGUUCUUAGUUGUUCUUUAUCUUUAGUUAUGGAUAUGGAACACGAAAUACCAAAAAAAUAGGUGUACUUUCUGCUCAUGGAGAUGGGGAACCUCCUAAAACCCUCGGUGCUGGUUAUGUGAAAGAUAUUAUGUACUCCCUCCGUCCGGAAAUACUUGUCACUAAAAUGAAUAAAAGGGGAUGUAUUUAGAUGUAUAUUAGUUCUAGAUACAUCCCUUUUUAUCUAUUUUGAUGACAAGUAUUUUCGGACGAAGGGAGUACUACUUUAAUAAUCCUGAGAAAACCCCAUUCAAUUAUGUAAUGGGAGUAACGUUGGAUCAACGUGAAUACUUUAGGGAUUACUGCUUGACACAAAAGGGAAACUAUUAUGGGAUCAAAUUCAUAUAUUGAAUUGGUAUACUAGGCAACUAUGCUUGAGAUAUGAUUAUACUUGUUGCUCUAGGAUGAAGGCUCCACACCUUCCCUUUUCAUGCAAAUUUAAUGAUAAUAAGACCUUAGCUUCUUAUGCUAAUGGUAUAUAUGAUUACUAUGAUGUGGAACAAAUAGAAGAAUUUGUUGCUUUUGUGGGUGCUUAUGAAAUUGAAUCUAUGUUUAAAGAGUUUGAAGAUUUUGAUGAUGCUGUUUAUAGACCUGAAAAUUUAGCUAUCCUGAAAUAUUGUUAUGAGAAUUAUGAAUACAAUUACGAAAUUAAUGCGCUUAUCGAGAAAGUCUCCGCUGUCCAAGAUGAGACUAAUAUUUUGCAGGAAUCUAUGGAAGAAGAAGUUGAUGAAACUGUGAGCUCAUUGGAUGAAAAAGAUGAGGAAGAGAGCGAAGGACAAAAGGAGGAAGAGCGGAUUAGCUACCCGUGCCCACCUUCUAAUGAGAGUAACUCUUCAACUCAUACAUUGUUUAAUUCCCCUUCGUGCUUACCGAAGGAUGAUUGCUAUGAUGAUUGUUAUGAUCCUGUUAAUUCUCUUGAAAUAUCCCUUUUUGAUGAUGCUUGCUAUGCUUGUGGCCAAGAUGCCAAUAUGAAUUAUGCUUAUGGAGAUGAACUUGCUAUAGUUCCUUAUGUUAAUGAAAUUGUUGCUAUUCCACCCACGCAUGAUAGUCCUAUUAUCUUUUUGAAUUCUCCUGACUACACUAUAUCGGAGAAGUUUGCCCUUAUUAUGGAUUACAUUGAUGGGUUGCAUUUUACUACUACACAUGAUGAUUUUUAUAGAUAUAAUAUGCAUGUGCUUGCUGCUCCUACUUGCAAUUAUUAUGAGAGAGGAACUAUAUCUCCACCUCUCUAUGUUUCCAAUACAACAAAAUUGCAAGAAACUGUUUAUACUAUGCAUUGGCCUUUACUAUGUGUGCAUAAAUUGUUCUUUUAUGACAUGCCGAUGCAUAGGAAGAGAGUUAGACUUCGCCAUUGCUUGAUAUAUGUUGCUUUGUGCUCACUACUAAAUGCUAAAUCAUUGCUAAUUAAAAUUGGCUUUGAUAUACCUUGGGAUCCGGGUGGAUCCAUUAUUUGAGCACUAUAUGCCUAGCUUAAUGGAUUUAAAGAAAGCGCUGCCAGGGAGACAACCCGGAAGUUUCAGAGAGUCAUAUAUUUCUGUUGAGUGCUUUUAUCUCUCCCUAAUAAUAAAGCACGGAUUGAGUCUCUGGGUUCACCGUCGCGUCCUCUUUUUACAAAGACCCCUGUGGUUUUUAGGAAUCAACCCGUAGUCCUAUUUUAAAGAAAACGUUUCGUUCGUACAUAAAAAACCCUGCAUUAUUGUGUAUUCGACCCGUGGUCCUUUUUAGGGGCAAAAAUGCGUGUGCCGGAGCCAGGGAGCUCGGUUCCGCACCAAGCGCUCGCCCGGACCCCGUCUUCCUCCGCCGCCUCGCCGCGCCGACCGGCAUCACCGGAGACCGCCGCCACCGCGAACAGGUCACGUCGCCGCACCUGCCUUCUCCUCCUCCCUUUCCUUCCUCCCUCCCUCUCACCAUCUCUCUCCCUCUCAUUGCAGCGCCACCAUGGCCGCCCCGAGCUUUGCCGGCAGCCGCGCCGCUCGACUCCGGCGGGAUCCGGCUGCCCCAGCCCGGAUCUGCAUCCUCCGCUCCGCCAUGCCCUGGAUCUGGCCACCACCAAGCCUCCCACAUCGAUCUGCCCGUCCGCCGGCCUCCCCCUGCUCGACUUGGGUGGACGGGCGAAGUUUCUGACUUGCCAUUGUAGUUGACCUGAAGCUCCAUUGGUGAGGACCAUUGCCGCUGCUGCAGGUUAGGGAGGAGGCUCGAGGCAGCCACGAAUUUUGUCCUGCACUGCUUCAACACCGGCCUAUUCUAGCAUGAAUCUUCUGCCGUGAUGUAUUUUCUUGUGCACUUGGAUGCUUGUACCAAUAUUUGUCUAAAAUUGCAACUCAAAAACACCUCUUAAUUGAAAUAAAAUGGGAUGAACAUUGUAGGUUAUUGAUAUGGCAAGGUUGAAUCAUGAGAACACAGCAAAGUUUCUAGUCUAUUGCAGAGAGAGUGACCCAUUCUCGAGGAUGUUAGUCUUUGAGUAUGCAUCAAAUGGGACCCUGUACGAGCACCUACACUGUAGGUCUAUCUCUUCAGUUUCAUUACGACAGACUAAAUAUUUGCAUUUUCUAUGUGUCAUAGAUUUGAUCUCAUUUGUUUUCUUCCUUUAGAUGGUGAAGCAGCCCAAUUCGCUUGGCUCAGACGAAUGAAAAUAGCCAUCAGCAUCGCCCAAAGUUUUAAGGUAUCUGCACACUGAGUCGUGGCCUCCUUUCGCCAUAUCAUAGAUGAAAUCCAAUUCAGUAUACGUUAUAGAAGAUUUUACCCCCAAGGUACUUACAUGGAUUUUCUUUACAAACUGAACUUUGAAAUCCAUUUUAGACAAUUGCUCAUGACUUGACAGAAAUCAUUCUUACGAGCAGGCUGACGACGUCGUCUACUGAGCCCCAUCGGCGGCGCGACGGGAGAGCUCCAACCUGUAUGUGGGUGUGGGGACGCAGAUCUGUGUCGCUAGCCUACACAAGGCCAUGGCACUACAAGAAACUUGUUAAUACAUGACGAUCUUAGUCCGUCACAGAACAGCCAAAAUCUGUCAUGCAUGCAAAUCCAUGACGGAUUUAAAAUCCAUCAUGUAUAUCGCGUCAUAAUUUGACACCGCACCUUCCAUGAUGGUUCUUGGCCGUCAUGGAUUUGCCCCAGGCCCGCCAAGCCCAAACUAGGCCGUGACGGAACAAUCCGUCACCAAUUUACAUGACGUGGAUGCAAUGUGGACCUAACAAGUCGUCUAUGUGGAUCUGACGUCGAGGCUAAUAGCCCAUGUUGUAACCAGCCCAAUUAGGAUUUGGCCCAAUAAUUUUGGUGGAUGAUCCAACCAAUCAGCUAUUUAUUUUUCAUACAUCCUAUUUUCACAAUGGAACACAAUUUACAAGAGGACAACCAAAUUUUAUUCAUUCAAAAAAUAGCAAUUGUUUACAUGACAAUACAGAGUUCCAACAAUCUAGUCUGAUUUGAGAAAACAAAGCUUAAUAUCAAUCACAAGAAUAUCUGGAAAGUGUUAUAAGCACCUUUAAAAAAAUGAGUAACAUGACUUCAAAGAAAAUGCACUUCUACUGAUUUUAAUCUCAAACACUACACCGAACCAAGGAAACUAUCCGAGGCCAAGCAAUUCCUGCUAAAAAACUUCAAUCUCAACUGCCAAACCUGCAUAGAAUCAAAACACAUACAAAAUUGUAAUAAGUUAUAAAAGCGAGCUUCCAAAAUAAUCCAAAGAGUAAUAACAUCCGUGGAAACGCCACUACUAUAUUAUGGAAACAGGUAAAUGUGGGUAACACAUGUGAAAACAACCAGACUAGUUACAAGUUCAAAAAAAUUUGUCCGAAGAAAAGUGUGUCAAAUGAAAGUAUAAUCUAAGUUAGGCUACAAGUGACAAGUAACAAGCACACAUCAGAGCUAAAAGUACAGUAGCAGCAGCAGUUGGUCCAGUCAUCGGUUCUGGACCGAACAGACAAUAUGUGCAUGGGGUUAACCAGGCUGGGAGCUAUCUAUUUUCUGGCCUAGCGAACAGAGAUGAGAUUUCUCAAAGAAGCAAACAAACGUAAUAGAGACAUGUACUUAGUUUUUUUUCUGAGAGGAAGCAGUGCGCCUGUACAUGUAUUUAGUUUAUCUUAUCAACCAUUUCUGUACUCUAAAGAAAUGAGAAAAAAGUGACAUGCACUUAGGUUUUUUUUGUGAGAGGAAGCUGUGCGCACAUGUAAGUACUUGGAUUUUCUGGAUCAAAAUUUUCUGUAUAAGCGAUCAGCUAAAAACUAUGUAAAGAAAAUUCUGCCAGCAUAGACACUAUACCACACCAUUCCUUAACAAACAAGAAUGACAGUAAAGAAGUGACAGACUAACUUAAAAUAAUUAACGCAAACUGGGCAUAAAAAUAGGCCAAGUUCAAAUCCAAAUAUGUAAUGUUGUGGACUAUACUAACUCAAUAUUUAAAUCAAAAUCAGCACCAAAGGAUUUUUCAUAUAACUUGAUGCUAAUGUUGUAAGUUCAUCUCAAAGUGCCAACAAAUACAGUACUAAACAAUACUUGCUUGCCAAGUUAACUUCAAAUGGCAUGCAAAAUAUUAACAAAGAACAUGAUACAGUUUCAUUGAGAGAUCUCCCACACUAAUAGUUUAUUUGUGGAGUACGAAGCUAUGUACUUUUAUUUCAUGAAAAAAAAUCUUUAGUAAAUUAUUAAACAAGAAAAUACUUGAUAAACGGUGAACUAAUAGUUAGGAAAGUCUAGUAGAGUAUGGAUACAAUGCAUGAUAUCAGGGACAUUGUCCAAUGCAGAUUUUAUGCACACAGAAAUAUCUGUACAGUUAUAACUUUACUGGAACCACACAACAGUCCACACCUUGAACAACUCACAACAGUCCGCACCUUGAACAGCUCAAAAUCUACAGCCAGAAUAAUUCACAUCAAG
This 43279-nucleotide long non-coding RNA is filed under the name Triticum aestivum (bread wheat). RNAcentral describes it as "long non-coding RNA (TAES_LNC010449)". The stretch from base 38495 to 38629 matches the Rfam family "MIR1120/MIR1122 microRNA precursor family". The record is from RNAcentral. Lineage: Eukaryota; Viridiplantae; Streptophyta; Magnoliopsida; Poales; Poaceae.